CUGAAUUUCGGAAUGAUUAGCAUUCAUACAUAUGAUUUUGCGAUUAACAAGCUUGUGUUGGUCUUUUGUCCAGUCGGCACUGUUCAAUUUCCAUUCUUUUCUCACGGUAGUGCUGCUGGUAAUAUGUACGUGUACUUAUGUGAAGAUGCACUUUCCGGCCAUUCUGGAGCAGAGGACUGGGUUUCGUGGUUUCUUUUGGAAGGCAGCUAGAAUAGUAUGUACCUGGUUUGCUAGCGUCAAAGUUUGGAUGAUGAGGGAAAAAAAGGGUUGGAUUAGGAUGAAAUCAGGAUCUUGGGGUCCUUGAAGCCAACAGGGACACAAGCAAGAACGUGAACUGCUAGUUUGCUCUUGAAUCUUCUCAAGACUAAACCUUUCCCUCCUCCCCAGCUAAAUACUGAGAGGAUGAUUUUCUUCAUUGGUUUCUUCUUGUUGCUCUGAGCUGUGUCGAAUACAUGGGCAAUCUGUCUGGAAGAGGAGUUGGUAUUGUCGCCAGGGUUGACAAUCCUCCAGAUCGAAUGGGAAAUUCCUACUUGGUUAGGGAGCAACAUUCUCUACAAUUCCGAUUUCUGUUGGUUCAGGUCUCAAUCUUUGCUUGGAAAACUAGGAAUAUUACUCUUGAAAUUGACAUUUUCUGUCAUAUUUCGAAUUGAAAAUGACCGCGAUCCUUCCUAUGCUUGGCCUAAAUUAUAUAGGCAAUCCCCCUUAUUUAAAAUCACCUCCAUUUUUUGUGCCUUCAGGAUCAGUAUUUUGUCCUCCAUCCCCUAUUUUGUAUCUCUGCUUUUGAAGGUUUCCUAUCUACAGAAACUUCGGCCAUCUUUGUUUGGCAUAUGGGUUGGGACGAGAGCAUUCUUGUCUUCUCUAGCUCUGUUCUUAUUCUCGCUUUUCUUCAUUCGGCCAAUUCUUCGUAUUCUCGAUUGUUUGGUGUGUAAAGAUAGAGGAAACGUUAUUUUAUGAUCCCUAUGAUAUCAAUAUAGAGAACUACGAGUACAAGACAAAAUCAGCAGCUUGCCGUCGAGGGCCAUUGCUCACCCUGGAGGCAUCACGUCAAAUUUUUAGAAGUCAGAUGCCUGAGAAGCUAAUCCACAGGUAAGGCACGUUGAAAAUGAUCUCGAAUGGUGUCUAUGUUAUCGCUCGUCUAUAACGAAAUGGUGAUUUUUUUGUCUUCUUAUGUUUUUUGUUUUGUCUAGUUAUAAGAAUAAAGAAUAUCCAAUGAAGGUUGCCCAAAUUUACGAGGGAUAA
Molecule: RNA transcript, 1239 nt
Organism: Syzygium oleosum
Lineage: Eukaryota; Viridiplantae; Streptophyta; Magnoliopsida; Myrtales; Myrtaceae
Exons: 4
Source: RefSeq, a predicted model, not a curated record